This 1296-nucleotide ribosomal RNA is filed under the name Escherichia coli. RNAcentral describes it as "partial 23S ribosomal RNA". It matches the Rfam family "Bacterial large subunit ribosomal RNA", at positions 165 to 1503 of the family's 2925-position model. Lineage: Bacteria; Pseudomonadati; Pseudomonadota; Gammaproteobacteria; Enterobacterales; Enterobacteriaceae. The record is from RNAcentral.
CAUAGGUUAAUGAGGCGAACCGGGGGAACUGAAACAUCUAAGUACCCCGAGGAAAAGAAAUCAACCGAGAUUCCCCCAGUAGCGGCGAGCGAACGGGGAGGAGCCCAGAGCCUGAAUCAGUGUGUGUGUUAGUGGAAGCGUCUGGAAAGGCGCGCGAUACAGGGUGACAGCCCCGUACACAAAAAUGCACAUGCUGUGAGCUCGAUGAGUAGGGCGGGACACGUGGUAUCCUGUCUGAAUAUGGGGGGACCAUCCUCCAAGGCUAAAUACUCCUGACUGACCGAUAGUGAACCAGUACCGUGAGGGAAAGGCGAAAAGAACCCCGGCGAGGGGAGUGAAAAAGAACCUGAAACCGUGUACGUACAAGCAGUGGGAGCACAGAGCAAUCUGUGUGACUGCGUACCUUUUGUAUAAUGGGUCAGCGACUUAUAUUCUGUAGCAAGGUUAACCGAAUAGGGGAGCCGAAGGGAAACCGAGUCUUAACUGGGCGUUAAGUUGCAGGGUAUAGACCCGAAACCCGGUGAUCUAGCCAUGGGCAGGUUGAAGGUUGGGUAACACUAACUGGAGGACCGAACCGACUAAUGUUGAAAAAUUAGCGGAUGACUUGUGGCUGGGGGUGAAAGGCCAAUCAAACCGGGAGAUAGCUGGUUCUCCCCGAAAGCUAUUUAGGUAGCGCCUCGUGAAUUCAUCUCCGGGGGUAGAGCACUGUUUCGGCAAGGGGGUCAUCCCGACUUACCAACCCGAUGCAAACUGCGAAUACCGGAGAAUGUUAUCACGGGAGACACACGGCGGGUGCUAACGUCCGUCGUGAAGAGGGAAACAACCCAGACCGCCAGCUAAGGUCCCAAAGUCAUGGUUAAGUGGGAAACGAUGUGGGAAGGCCCAGACAGCCAGGAUGUUGGCUUAGAAGCAGCCAUCAUUUAAAGAAAGCGUAAUAGCUCACUGGUCGAGUCGGCCUGCGCGGAAGAUGUAACGGGGCUAAACCAUGCACCGAAGCUGCGGCAGCGACACUAUGUGUUGUUGGGUAGGGGAGCGUUCUGUAAGCCUGUGAAGGUGUGCUGUGAGGCAUGCUGGAGGUAUCAGAAGUGCGAAUGCUGACAUAAGUAACGAUAAAGCGGGUGAAAAGCCCGCUCGCCGGAAGACCAAGGGUUCCUGUCCAACGUUAAUCGGGGCAGGGUGAGUCGACCCCUAAGGCGAGGCCGAAAGGCGUAGUCGAUGGGAAACAGGUUAAUAUUCCUGUACUUGGUGUUACUGCGAAGGGGGGACGGAGAAGGCUAUGUUGGCCGGGCGACGGUU